This 268-nucleotide ribosomal RNA is filed under the name uncultured Eubacteriales bacterium. RNAcentral's name for it is "uncultured Clostridiales bacterium partial 16S ribosomal RNA". It matches the Rfam family "Bacterial small subunit ribosomal RNA", at positions 75 to 339 of the family's 1533-position model. The record is from RNAcentral. Lineage: Bacteria; Bacillati; Bacillota; Clostridia; Eubacteriales.
AGUGCUUGCACUUUGGCAGACUGAGUGGCGGACGGGUGAGUAACGCGUGGGUAACCUGCCUUAUACAGGGGGACAACAGUUGGAAACGACUGCUAAUACCGCAUAAGCGCACAGCUUCGCAUGAAGCAGUGUGAAAAACUCCGGUGGUACAAGAUGGACCCGCGUCUGAUUAGCUGGUUGGUGAGGUAACGGCCCACCAAGGCGACGAUCAGUAGCCGGCCUGAGAGGUUGAACGGCCACAUUGGGACUGAGAUACGGCCCAGACUCC